CCGGUUAGGCCAGUUGAACCAGUCGGUUUACUAGUUAGGCCGGUUGAACCGCUUCCAGUGCCAUUUCCGGUUAAACAUCCCGCUUCGAUUUUUCUUACACUAAUCUAAACCACUAACUCAACUGUGCUACAUUUUAUAAACUAUGUGCAUGCAAAAGGGAGAAGCAAUUUCUUAAUAAAACAUCCAAGGGACGAGGUUUAAAAUAUUUAAAAAUUCACUUGGUAUGCACUUAAUUGACCCAUGGUUGAAAAAAAUGAAAAUCACUGUCAUAAAAGGCUGCCAUAAUGCUUGCAGCCCCUGCCUAUUAUAUCACAUAAAAGAAAUGAGCAAGAUGAAUAUGAUGUCUGCUAUGUAUAUACGAUGGGUGCUUAUAGUUGUUAGACAAAAAGGCAUAAAAAUUAAACCAAUAAAGAAAUCAUCAUAAAUGUUUCAAAACAAACAACGAAAAUGGACUAUAUCCAUUAUAAUGUUUACUAUGUCUAUUACUUUUACAGAAAUGAAAAAGAACAGCCCAUUAUUUUCAUUAUUGAAUAAGAUUAUACCAUCAUCAUUUCUUUACAAAAUUUGUUGCGAGUUUUUAUAUUACUUCAAAAUUAUAAACAAAUCAUUUCUAAUUUAAGUUAUAACUAUCCACUUUGGCCAGACUUUGAAACCUUUGUUUGGUUUUAAACUCAAGAAGAGAUAUCCUAUUCAUGAAUCCCUACAAAAAAGAUAGAGAAUGACCUAAUUGCUCCCUUGCGAAUAAACUUUCAGCUGGUUUUCAAUGUAACUAACAGGAACAUGUGGGACUUUGCACUUAUAUUGUUUAUGUAGAACGCAUGCCCAUAUUAAGUGUGAUCUGUGUGUGUGCUGCCUUUGCAUCAGUCAUGGCUGUGAGUGUAUUAGGGGAUGCACACGGGACAUG
RNAcentral lists this long non-coding RNA (904 nucleotides) under Amborella trichopoda. RNAcentral's name for it is "long non-coding RNA (ATRI_LNC002195)". Lineage: Eukaryota; Viridiplantae; Streptophyta; Magnoliopsida; Amborellales; Amborellaceae. The record is from RNAcentral.